UUGAAGGCUGUGAUGUUGAAAACUACCUAUUUUAUGAGGGAAAGGUAAAUUGUUCCUUCGUGAUUACAUAAACUACCAAUGGAUCCUACUGAGCCUUCA
Molecule: non-coding RNA, 99 nt
Organism: Glycine max (soybean)
Lineage: Eukaryota; Viridiplantae; Streptophyta; Magnoliopsida; Fabales; Fabaceae
Source: Rfam